RNAcentral lists this ribosomal RNA (245 nucleotides) under uncultured bacterium. RNAcentral describes it as "partial 16S ribosomal RNA". It matches the Rfam family "Bacterial small subunit ribosomal RNA", at positions 524 to 769 of the family's 1533-position model. The record is from RNAcentral.
GACAGAGGUGGCAAGCGUUGUUCGGAAUUACUGGGCUUAAAGGGCGCGUAGGCGGUGGAGUAAGUCUGAGGUGGAAGAUUAGGGCUUAACCCUAAAUUGCCUUGGAAACUGCAUCACUUGAGUCAGCGAGGGGAUGGCGGAAUUCCAGGUGUAGCGGUGAAAUGCGUAGAUAUCUGGAGGAAGGCCGGUGGCGAAGGCGGCCAUCUGGCGCUGAACUGACGCUGAGGCGCGAAAGCGUGGGGAGC